Molecule: ribosomal RNA, 481 nt
Filed under: uncultured bacterium
Lineage: Bacteria
Description: partial 16S ribosomal RNA
Rfam family: Bacterial small subunit ribosomal RNA
Source: RNAcentral
GACGAACGCUGGCGGCGUGCUUAACACAUGCAAGUCGAACGAUGAAGGAGAGCUUGCUCUCCGGAUUAGUGGCGAACGGGUGAGUAACACGUGACUAACCUGCCCCUUUCUCUGGGAUAACGCUCCGAAAGGAGUGCUAAUACCGGAUACGAACUCUGAACACAUGUUCGGAGUUGGAAAGUUUUUCGGAAAGGGAUGGAGUCGCGGCCUAUCAGCUUGUUGGUGAGGUAACGGCUCACCAAGGCGACGACGGGUAGCCGGCCUGAGAGGGCGACCGGCCACACGGGGACGGAGACACGGCCCAGACUCCGACGGGAGGCAGCAGUGGGGAAUAUUGCACAAUGGGCGAAAGCCUGAUGCAGCGACGCCGCGUGAGGGAUGAAGGUCUUCGGAUUGUAAACCUCUUUCAGUAGGGACGAAGCGAAAGUGACGGUACCUAAAGAAGAAGCACCGGCUAACUACGUGCCAGCCGCCGCCGUAA